Molecule: ribosomal RNA, 493 nt
Filed under: Ceriodaphnia rotunda
Lineage: Eukaryota; Metazoa; Arthropoda; Branchiopoda; Diplostraca; Daphniidae
Description: bacterial SSU rRNA
Rfam family: Eukaryotic small subunit ribosomal RNA
Source: RNAcentral
CUCUUUCUUGAUUCGGUGGGUGGUGGUGCAUGGCCGUUCUUAGUUGGUGGAGCGAUUUGUCUGGUUAAUUCCGAUAACGAACGAGACUCUAGCCUGCUAAAUAGGUGACGGGUUUUAUCAAUUGAAACCGAAGGGAGUACGGAGGCGUCGGGAUCAGGUGGCGAGUGGUUUUCUGGAGAUCGGGGUCGGACUUGGUUUAGUUGCGAGUGCGCGGUUGUUCGGGCGAGCUCUGUUGGCGCAAGUUGACGGAGUUUGUUCGCGCGGCUGUGUGUUCGUAGCGGCUAGUUCGGCCUUUAUUUUCGGGCCUUCGUCAUCCCUGGCGAUUCUCCUGCUCUCGCGUCCGUCACAAGUCUUCUUAGAGGGACAAGCGGCGUCCAGCCGCGUGACAGUGAGCAAUAACAGGUCUGUGAUGCCCUUAGAUGUCCUGGGCCGCACGCGCGCUACACUGAAGGAAUCAGCGUGUUUCACUCUCCCUGUCCGAAAGGACCGGGUA